This 607-nucleotide long non-coding RNA is filed under the name Dermacentor andersoni. Its description in RNAcentral is "uncharacterized LOC126539248". The record is from RNAcentral. Lineage: Eukaryota; Metazoa; Arthropoda; Arachnida; Ixodida; Ixodidae.
CAGACUUAGAGACGACACGAGAGCCCUUUGUCCCUCGUUUAUGUGGGCGCCAUUGUGACUGUCUCGAUGCUGUGUGUGCGCUUUAGGCAAGCGGUUCAAACAAAUUAUGCAGCGUGUGUAUCAAGGAAGAGGACUUGACUGCCACUCACAUGGAAGGAAGUGCUCGUCUUCGCCGCUCGCGUCUGCUCCAGUGGACAGGUGAGACAGGUCUGGCAGAGUGGCCGGCCUUGGCAGUGCUGCUGGCGCAUCGCGCGGUGGAAUGAACGGAGAGACCAGCGAACCUUCGGCGACAGUCCCUACCGGUGUCAGAGGCGGACCCGCGGUGACAGUCACGUGACGGGCCUCCCUGGCGCUGGCGCCACCCGGAAGUCCACCGCUGCAGCCGUCCAUACUUGAGGCCGGGCAGGACAUCCUGCACAAUCGAGAGCGCUGCGACAGACACGCGGACACUUAUCGCAGCACUUGAGAGUAAGCGGCGGGAAGUAGUCCUGACGAACGAUGGACGGGACCCGACAACUUUUGGAUGGGCCGGGUUUCCAAAACCAGCCGCCGCCAGUGGUUUUCUCUCUCCAAGACGACGGUGGUAUUUUUUUAAUAAAAUAAAUUU